Vitis riparia (riverbank grape) is the source of this 930-nucleotide long non-coding RNA. RefSeq lists it as uncharacterized. NCBI's taxonomy places the organism in Eukaryota, Viridiplantae, Streptophyta, Magnoliopsida, Vitales, Vitaceae. The transcript has 3 exons. The record is from RefSeq and is a predicted model, not a curated record.
AGUCCAGAGCAGCAUGCUGGCGAUGGCUUUGGCUCCUUGCCAGUGGCAUACCCCACACAUGAGGCUGCCUUCAUGUCAACAGUGCCGCAUGGCACGGUUGCUUCACUAGUGCUGGCUAGGAAGAGGAGGAAGGAGAGGAGGAAGACCAUAGAGAAGAAGGUGUUCUUCAUGGUUAACUGUCAAAGUAACUGUAUUAGCUAACUGAAGAAGCUCUACUCCUUGGUGUUGGAGGCAGGCAGGUUGAAGAAAAUUGUGUGGAGGAUGAUGGGUUUAUAUAGACGAUUGGAAGGCUCUGGGACUUUGGAUUAUGUGAAAGUUGAGUCUUCCAAUGCAAUUUUAAGGAUAAGUUGCAGGUGAUUUUAUUGGGCCUGGUGACAGGAAUUGAAUGCCGAGAAGGGAGCGGGUCAUUACAGAUAUCUCUUGGCAAUAGCUUUCCUUGUCAUCCUUGUGGUCAAUCAAGUUGGAAUGGAAGACACAGGGAUUGGCAAUCUGAAUAUUCAAAUGCUGUGAACAACAAAGUGGAAUGAUUUUCCAGCUGGUACUUGAAUGCCCUUGGAAUCAUGCAACUUAAUUAUCAGUUUGCAACCCAAAAAUUUGGAUAAUGUCUUUCAAAGGGGAAGACAUGAAGACAAACUUUCUAUUUUUAAGUGAAGCAAAUCAAAUGCCUUAACAGCUUCUGAAUUGAAUAACUAUCGAUUUUAAGCUGAACUUUCUACUUUGACUAGUGGGCUAAAACAACAGAAUUGUGGGUCUAGCUAGCAAUCAGAGGCAGUUUCAACCAUUGAAAAUGAUCUCCUUUUGCCAACCAUGCUUUGGAAGGUUUCAACAGGUGGAGAAUCCAAAGCUUAUGCAGCAGACAUUGUUGGACAAUAUGCAAUUUCCCAAGAAUGAAAAAGAGUUUACAACUCGAGGUCAUAGAAGAAGAGAAAG